Molecule: ribosomal RNA, 305 nt
Filed under: uncultured bacterium
Lineage: Bacteria
Description: bacterial SSU rRNA
Rfam family: Bacterial small subunit ribosomal RNA
Source: RNAcentral
CUUCUUACGGGAGGCAGCAGUGAGGAAUAUUGGUCAAUGGGAGAGAUCCUGAACCAGCCAAGCCGCGUGAGGGAAUAAGGCCCUACGGGUCGUAAACCUCUUUUGCCGGGGAGCAAGGGCGGGGACGUGUCCCGGCCCGGAGAGUACCCGGAGAAAAAGCAUCGGCUAACUCCGUGCCAGCAGCCGCGGUAAUACGGAGGAUGCGAGCGUUAUCCGGAUUUAUUGGGUUUAAAGGGUGCGUAGGCGGGCUUUUAAGUCAGCGGUAAAAAUUCGGGGCUCAACCCCGUCCGGCCGUUGAAACUGGG